Molecule: ribosomal RNA, 252 nt
Filed under: uncultured bacterium
Lineage: Bacteria
Description: partial 16S ribosomal RNA
Rfam family: Bacterial small subunit ribosomal RNA
Source: RNAcentral
UACGUAGGGGGCAAGCGUUGUCCGGAUUUAUUGGGCGUAAAGAGCGUGUAGGCGGCUUGGUAGGUCUUGCGUCAAAACCUGAGGCUCAACCUCAGUUCGCGUGGGAAACCACCUAGCUAGAGUCCGGAAGAGGAGAACGGAAUUCCCAGUGUAGCGGUGAAAUGCGCAGAUAUCAGGAGGAACACCGGUGGCGAAGGCGCUCUGCUAGGCCGUAACUGACACUGAGGGACGAAAGCUAGGGGAGCGAAUGGG